UACGGAGGGGGCUAGCGUUGUUCGGAAUUACUGGGCGUAAAGCGCGCGUAGGCGGACCUGCAAGUCGGGGGUGAAAGCCCGAGGCUCAACCUCGGAACUGCCUUCGAUACUGCGGUCUCGAGUCCGGGAGAGGUGAGUGGAAUUCCUAGUGUAGAGGUGAAAUUCGUAGAUAUUAGGAAGAACACCAGUGGCGAAGGCGGCUCACUGGCCCGGUACUGGACGCUGAGGCGCGAAAGCGUGGGGAGCAAACAGGGAUUAAGAUAACCCCGGUA
Molecule: ribosomal RNA, 272 nt
Filed under: uncultured bacterium
Lineage: Bacteria
Description: partial 16S ribosomal RNA
Rfam family: Bacterial small subunit ribosomal RNA
Source: RNAcentral